Gossypium hirsutum (cotton) is the source of this 107-nucleotide non-coding RNA. NCBI's taxonomy places the organism in Eukaryota, Viridiplantae, Streptophyta, Magnoliopsida, Malvales, Malvaceae. The record is from Rfam.
AGCCCAUGGUGAGGGCAUCUUCUUAAAAGGUCCUUCUAUCUCUCACAUGCAUCAUAAAGUGUUUCUAAAUCCAUCUACACAAAAGAAGAGAUAUCAUUACAUAACUU